CCUACGGGUGGCAGCAGUAAGGGAUAUUGGUCAAUGGGGGAAACCCUGAACCAGCAACGCCGCGUGAGGGAAGACGGUUUUCGGAUUGUAAACCUCUGUCCUCUGUGAAGAUGAUGACGGUAGCAGAGGAGGAAGCUCCGGCUAACUACGUGCCAGCAGCCGCGGUAAUACGUAGGGAGCGAGCGUUAUCCGGAUUUAUUGGGUUUAAAGGGUGCGUAGGCGGAUCGUUAAGUCAGUGGUCAAAUUGAGGGGCUCAACCCCUUCCCGCCAUUGAAACUGGCGCUCUUGAGUGGAAGAGAAGUAUGCGGAAUGCGUGGUGUAGCGGUGAAAUGCAUAGAUAUCACACAGAACACCGAUUGCGAAGGCAUCUCACGAAUCCGCGAUUGACGCUGAUGCACGAAAGCGUGGGUAUCAAACAGGAUUAGAUACCCGAGUAGUC
RNAcentral lists this ribosomal RNA (439 nucleotides) under uncultured bacterium. Its description in RNAcentral is "partial 16S ribosomal RNA". It matches the Rfam family "Bacterial small subunit ribosomal RNA", at positions 338 to 795 of the family's 1533-position model. The record is from RNAcentral.